UGAUGUAUGCACAUUGUGGCUGUUCUGGUUAAUUAGAAAGUUGCUGAGUUCUAUCUGAUUAAUACUAGUUUGAGACGGCGGUCGAGCCAGUUGUAACUGUUGUCAUCUGAUGAUCGAUCAUAUAUCAUAACAGUUAUCAUAUAGCAUGAGAAUUAUGUUGAGAGAUAUGACUUGAAAGUGACACGAAGAUUUUUAUUGGAUAUUUUGCUAUAAUCAUGUCAUAAGUUGGAAUUUUAAUUAUUUCAUGGCUGGAUUGAAUUUAUUUUU
Long non-coding RNA from Olea europaea var. sylvestris, 267 nucleotides. RefSeq lists it as uncharacterized. NCBI's taxonomy places the organism in Eukaryota, Viridiplantae, Streptophyta, Magnoliopsida, Lamiales, Oleaceae. The record is from RefSeq and is a predicted model, not a curated record. The transcript has 2 exons.